This is a long non-coding RNA of Caretta caretta (loggerhead turtle), 1901 nucleotides long. RefSeq lists it as uncharacterized. NCBI's taxonomy places the organism in Eukaryota, Metazoa, Chordata, Testudines, Cheloniidae. The record is from RefSeq and is a predicted model, not a curated record.
CCCAGGAUUCCCGGCCGGCCUGUCUGCAUGUUGCGGAGGGGAGGCAUUUCCCAGCCAGCUCACCAGGGCUCUCACCCUGUCUGUGUUGUACUGGUGUCCCAGCAGCCCAGGGUGGACAGGAACGUGGCAGUGACAUACGCGGUGGUGGGACAGGGCGGCUCUCGAGUACAGGACACCCGGCCGGCUCCAUAGCACUGGGAUUCCCAGUGCCCCACAAGCCUGCGUGAGCCCCACACUCGCUGCCAGCCUGAGCGGAGCCCCGGGAAGGAGACGGUGAUGGAGCCUGUUAACCAGCCAGCGAGCAGCAGUGUUUGGGUCAGUCGAUGGCACAGGGGAAGCUCCGACACUUCGUGGGCAGCGGGAGCCGGGUGUGGCGGAGGCCGGGCUUCGUGUCACAGCCAGUUGUUAUAGUUACAGCAGAACCUUCCUGGCCAAAGUUCCCACCCCGGAGGCCUGCACAUAAAAUCCCCUCGGUGACUGUGCAUGAGAGCGACAGGCAGAGCGACAGGCGGCCACAAGCCAUUUGCACAGGCAGCUGCCUGACGUGCACACCUGGUCGUGGGGAAUGCAAAUGUAGGGUACCAAAUGGGUUUAAAUGUGGCCUGAAACGGCUCCUGCAUUUACUGAAUAUCCAGGACGCAGAUGCUGAGCCAAAUGUCUCUGGUGUAAGCCUCAUAGAAGGGGUGGGGAGAGAGGCAGUGCGGGGAUGCCUGCGUGGGUGUAGCUGUGUCAGAGACACGCUGUGAUGCUGCUAUGGGGGGAUGUGCUGGGGUCUAUGCUGAGCCUCUGAGCACGUGCAGGGUGAACAAGGGGGCAGAUUUUUGAAGGUAUUGAAGUGCCUAACUCCCAUGGAUGUCAGUGAGAGUUAAGUGCCUGAGCCCCUUUAAAUAGUGACCCAAGGGGUCUCUGGCAGGCUGGGUCUGAGCUGGCUCCUGUGCAGUGAAUAAAAUGCUUUGCCUUUUCUCUGCUCAACCUGCCUCCUGGGAGCAUCGCUAAGCAUCAACUAGUGCCAGGAGUUACGAUGAGACACACAUGGAGCAAUUAUCUCCCUGAGUCCACUGGGGACCUGGGGAAACUUGGCAGUGACACAGGUUAGGUUCAAGCAGUGUUUUCUCAUCCCCACGGGGCCGCAGAGACACGCAGAUGCAGAGAGUCAUGAACAUCACAGAUCGAGGGGGACAGGGAUGUGAGAAUAAAUCAUUUAUGCCCUGAUAUCUCUCUCUCUCUCUCUCUCUCUCUCUCACACACACACACACACACAUAUACACACACACACAAAAACAAUUUCAUUAGCACAGCGUCGAGGCUGCCCUGGGGUAUCUCGCUCCCAUCCAGAACGCUGAAACCCGCCAAAUUCACAGGUCUGAAAGCCAGAACAUUCCGAGUUCAGGUAUUUCACACUCAGGAUUCCUAAAACCAGGAAACUGAGGGAAGGGUUAGGCCCGCGCAACCUUUACUCUGCCCUCGUUGAUCGAUGCCCCAAUACGCCCAGGCUCUGCCUUUGCACUGUAGCAAACAGGAGCUACGAGCACCUGCCCUCCGCUCACAGACUGAGCCUGCUCCACCCUGUUGCCGGCACCCAGUGCCGAGAGGCAAAACAACAGCUGGGGUUGGUUCGCUACCCGGUAUGCUUCGCCCAAUAAUCACAACGGGGUGGAGAAGCAGAAAAGUUUAUUUGAAGCUUCAAAAAGAUACAGGGAGAAUAGAAUCUCAAAUCCUGCACACAAAGCAGGAAGUUACACAGGCUUUUAUACAUCCUUUCUUCAGCAUACUUAUCCAAUAACAAGCUGCCCUAAGUAUCCAUAUAGCCAGCCAAUCCAGUUACCAGCUAGUUCCCUUGUUUUUUGUAUCAUUUGUUAAACUAUACAUAAAGCUGCUUUAUUCAGCAUUUUUCUUCCAUA